GUGGGGAAUCUUGCGCAAUGGGCGAAAGCCUGACGCAGCCAUGCCGCGUGAAUGAUGAAGGUCUUAGGAUUGUAAAAUUCUUUCACCGGGGACGAUAAUGACGGUAUCCGGAGAAGAAGCCCCGGCUAACUUCGUGCCAGCAGCCGCGGUAAUACGAAGGGGGCUAGCGUUGUUCGGAAUUACUGGGCGUAAAGCGCACGUAGGCGGACAUUUAAGUCAGGGGUGAAAUCCCGGGGCUCAACCCCGGAACUGCCUUUGAUACUGGGUGUCUGGAGUAUGGAAGAGGUAAGUGGAAUUCCGAGUGUAGAGGUGAAAUUCGUAGAUAUUCGGAGGAACACCAGUGGCGAAGGCGGCUUACUGGUCCAUUACUGACGCUGAGGUGCGAAAGCGUGGGGAGCAAACAGGAUUAGAAACCCUGGUAGUCC
This 425-nucleotide ribosomal RNA is filed under the name uncultured bacterium. Its description in RNAcentral is "partial 16S ribosomal RNA". It matches the Rfam family "Bacterial small subunit ribosomal RNA", at positions 354 to 796 of the family's 1533-position model. The record is from RNAcentral.